This 454-nucleotide ribosomal RNA is filed under the name uncultured bacterium. Its description in RNAcentral is "bacterial SSU rRNA". It matches the Rfam family "Bacterial small subunit ribosomal RNA", at positions 328 to 792 of the family's 1533-position model. The record is from RNAcentral.
GGGCCAGACUCCUACGGGAGGCAGCAGUAGGGAAUUUUCGGCAAUGGGGGGAACCCUGACCGAGCAACGCCGCGUGAACGAAGAAGUUAUUCGUAAUGUAAAGUUCUUUUAUCAGGGAAGAAAGAGGAAUUUGACGGUACCUGAGGAAUAAGCUCCGGCUAACUACGUGCCAGCAGCCGCGGUAAUACGUAGGGGGCAAGCGUUAUCCGGAUUUACUGGGUGUAAAGGGAGCGUAGACGGCACUGCAAGUCCGGAGUGAAAGCCCAAGGCUUAACCAUGGGACUGCUCUGGAAACUGUGGAGCUUGAGUGCGGGAGGGGCAGGCGGAAUUCCUAGUGUAGCGGUGAAAUGCGUAGAUAUUAGGAGGAACACCGGCGGCGAAGGCGGCCUGCUGGACCGUAACUGACGUUGAGGCUCGAAAGCGUGGGGAGCAAACAGGAUUAGAUACCCGAGUA